GGGGGGGGGUGGGGGCGGGGUGAGGGGGGGGGGGGGGAGGGGGGGGGCGGGGCGUUGGUGGGGUGGGGGAGGGGCGAACGGGUGAGUGAGCCGUGAGGAACCUGCGCUUGACUUUGGGAUGGCUGGAGGACAGUGGGGCUAACACCGGGUGUGAGUCCCUGCUGCAUGGUGUGGGGUGGCAAUUCUCGGCGGUUGGUGCCUAUCUCUCGGCUUACCAGCUGUUUGGUGGGGUAGUGGCUUACCACGGCUUUGACGGGUCGUGGGCCUUAGAGGGUGACCGGCCACAUUGGGACUGAGAUACGGCCCAGACUCCUACGGGAGGCAGCAGUGGGGAAUAUUGCACAAUGGGCGGAAGCCUGAUGCAGCAACGCCGCGUGCGGGAUGACGGCCUUCGGGUUGUAAACCGCUUUCGCCUGUGACGAAGCGUGAGUGAUGGUAAUGGGUAAAGAAGCACCGGCUAACUACGUG
RNAcentral lists this ribosomal RNA (468 nucleotides) under uncultured bacterium. Its description in RNAcentral is "partial 16S ribosomal RNA". The stretch from base 53 to 468 matches the Rfam family "Bacterial small subunit ribosomal RNA", at positions 34 to 507 of the family's 1533-position model. The record is from RNAcentral.